CUAAACUGGCGCACGUCCACCCCAUGCAGGUGCACACACGCGUCCUAAAGAGUGCGGGCUCUAAUUUUAGUCAUCGAAGCGUCAGAAUAAACAGUUUGCCGCUCGUGUUGGGUUACGGCUUGCUCGUAGCUUUUUCUUCGAGGAAAGAAUUGAAAUCGACAACCACGUCGUAGAUCAUAUAGACCCGACGAUAUUCUUCAAAUUCCCGUUUACGGGAAUUCUGUAGGACUAUUAUAUAACGAGAAACGAAUAUUUAUUUGUACGGAAAUAAAAAAAUUGACAUCGAUGAUACGCACAGGAGAGACGAAGGAAUUGUAGACCGAAAAGCUUUUGUCUUGAGACUAACAACUGAACUAUAAAUCUUAAGGAGAUCCGAUAAAUUUAAUUAUUUCCAUCCUCGAGAUAAUUAUACUGUGACCGUUUAAUUGGCUGGUAAUGUCUUCGUAAAAUGUUCUAACCGAACAGCUGUGGGUACUAUUUCUAGAUCCAAAUGACUAGGGUAUCACUGAUUCAUGAUAUAACAGAGGAAAGUGCAAAUUUUAAUUAAAUUGAUUUUUCAUCGAUCACACUUUAAGAAAUAAAAUAGAAAAAUGAUUGAAAAAUAAAAAUAGUAAUUUCACGGUUUAUCGUCGUGUAAUCCUCUAUCCUCUUAAAGCAAAUAAAAAAAUAUAAAUAAUCACUUAAAGUUACGCACAAAUUGGCUGAGCGCCAGAGUACACUGUAUCCAAAGUGAAAUGUCAUCAGAAACCAAAACACAAUAUUUCUUUCGAAUUCCUUGGAGUAUUAAAUCGCAAUUUGGGCUCGAGUUCAUUAUAUCAUCCACGUUGAACUUUCGCCAGAGACAUCGCGCACGAUAAAGGUUCACAUAAUCCGAGAUUCAGUUAUUAUAUAAUACAGUUUUAUUAUCAUUAAUCAUAUAGUAUAAUAAGAACAAUACGCCAGGCAGCAAUAUGAGCCGACGUCGAUGCGCCUGGUUAUGGUAUUCCAUCGUAUACUUCACUCUCGUCGUUUACCACCCCCGUGUGUCUAUUGCAAAUGCCAAAGAAAUAUUUUUUUUUUUUACGUGCGCGUACGAUUUCAAUAUAGCCUGUAUGUGUGUGCGUGUACGUAUAGUGCAUGUAAAUAU
Molecule: long non-coding RNA, 1126 nt
Organism: Osmia bicornis bicornis
Lineage: Eukaryota; Metazoa; Arthropoda; Insecta; Hymenoptera; Megachilidae
Exons: 2
Source: RefSeq, a predicted model, not a curated record